UGGGAUAGUAAGACAUUCUCCGUCAACCUCUU
Molecule: non-coding RNA, 32 nt
Filed under: Mus musculus (house mouse)
Lineage: Eukaryota; Metazoa; Chordata; Mammalia; Rodentia; Muridae
Source: RNAcentral